GAUCCUCAUCCAUCGCCACUCGCACCUAUAAACUGCUGCACCGUCAGAAUCCCAGUUCAUUCGCCACUCCCUCUCCCCAAUCCCCAUCGAACCAAAGCUAAUCUAGUCUAGUUCCAUGGCUCACGGCAUCGCGCUUGUCAUCGUCGCCGCCUUCUCGGCCGCGUUCGGUGGCCUCGAGUCCCACGAGACCUUCGUCGCCUCUCGCAGCCAGGCCACAGUCGGUCACGGGGACGCCGCCGCCGCCGGUGCUUUCCUCCUGGCCACAGUGGCAACCUUUGCGCUCGCUUCGGCGCUCCUGCUGGCGCACGUCCGCGCGCUUCGUUCCCACCGCCGCGCCGGUGGAGCAGAGCGCGGUUUCGCCACGGGCCGCCUCUCUGCGGCGACGCUCGCCGCGGCCGCGGCGGUCCUUGGCGUCGGAACCGUGCUGCGCCUCGUUGCGUAGGCUGACGGCGGGUGGCUCCAGUCUCCAGAGUGGCAGAGUCCACAUGAAAUGCCUAUUUGGUGGAUUCCAUAGGAGAUGGAGAAUCUGGAGACCCGCCACAGUAUCAAGUAUACGUAACUCUGCUGCAUUUUUAGUAAGGUUAGUUGGAGUGGUCAGGUGUGCUGCUCUUCAGCUUCGUCCUGGGAGCAGCCGUCAGUUGCUUUGGUUGCAUAAUGGGCAGUUUUCAGGACUUCAGGUGCCUUUUUCAGUUUCGUCCAAGUAGCAGUCAAGUUUUUUGGCUGUGUUUCUUUAGGCCUUGUAAAUAUACAUGGAUUGGAUUUCAUUGGAUUAUUGUAGGAUCCGUACUGGCUCAGAUCCUGCACCAUUUUGAUGAAAUUCCAACAUUAUUUAUUGUGCUGUUUUCUGCCUGAAAGUCGUUAUGCUGUGAAGUGCAAUGGUUCCCGAA
Molecule: long non-coding RNA, 887 nt
Organism: Panicum virgatum (switchgrass)
Lineage: Eukaryota; Viridiplantae; Streptophyta; Magnoliopsida; Poales; Poaceae
Exons: 2
Source: RefSeq, a predicted model, not a curated record